ACUACCUACGGGGCGCAGCAGUCGGGAAUAUUGCGCAAUGGAGGAAACUCUGACGCAGUGACGCUGCGUAUAGGAAGAAGGUUUUCGGAUUGUAAACUAUUGUCGUUAGGGAAGAUACAAGACAGUACCUAAGGAGGAAGCCCCGGCUAACUAUGUGCCAGCAGCCGCGGUAAUACGGAGGAUGCGAGCGUUAUCCGGAUUUAUUGGGUUUAAAGGGUGCGUAGGCGGUUUUUUAAGUUAGUGGUUAAACGUCGGGGCUUCACCUUGAUUUGCCAUUAAUACUGUAAGACUUGAUUUCAGACGAG
Molecule: ribosomal RNA, 305 nt
Filed under: uncultured bacterium
Lineage: Bacteria
Description: bacterial SSU rRNA
Rfam family: Bacterial small subunit ribosomal RNA
Source: RNAcentral